UCCCGUUGAUCCUGCGGGAGAUUGCUGCUAUUAGGAUUCGACUAAGCCAUGCAAGUCAGGUCGCAAGACCGGCAGAAUGCUCAGUAACACGUCGAUAACCUUCCCUUAGGUCUGGGAUAACCUCGGGAAACUGAGGGUAACACCGGAUAUGGAAUUAAUUCUGGAAUGAAUAUUUCUUGAAAAGUAAUGCCUAAGGAUGGGUCGGCGGCCGAUUAGGCUGUUGGCGGGGUAAUGGCCCACCAAACCAAAGAUCGGUAGGGGCCUUGAGAGAGGUAGCCUCGAGAAGGGCACUGAGGUACUGGCCCUAGCCCUACGGGGUGCAGCAGGCGCGAAACCUUUACAAUGCACGAAAGUGUGAUAAGGGGAUCCUGAGUGCUUACACUAAGUGUAGGCUUUUGCCAAGAGUAAAAACCUUGGCGAAUAAGUGGUGGGCAAGACUGGUGCCAGCCGCCGCGGUAACACCAGCUCCACAAGUGGCGACCAUUUUUAUUGGGCUUAAAGCGUCCGUAGCCGGUCUGAAAAAUCUCUUGUGAAAUCGUUGCGCUUAACGUAACGGCGUGCAGGGGACACUCUCAGACUUGGAACCGGGAGGAGUCAGAGGUAUGUAUGGGGUAGCGGUAAAAUGUUAUAAUCCCAUGUAGACCACCUGUGGCGAAGGCGUCUGACCAGAACGGAUUCGACGGUGAGGGACGAAAGCCAGGGGAGCGAUCCGGAUUAGAUACCCGAGUAGUCCUGGCCGUAAACGCUGCGAGUUAGGUGUUGCAUAUUCUCCGGGAAUAUGCAGUGUCGGAGCGAAGGCAUUAAACUCGUCGCCUGGGGAGUACGGUCGCAAGACUGAAACUUAAAGGAAUUGGCGGGGGAGCACUACAAGGGGUGCGGCGUGCGGUUUAAUCUAAUUCAACGCAGAGAAUCUCACCAGAGGCGACGGCAGGAUGACGGUCAGUCUAAAGGGCUUACCUGACGAGCCGAGAGGUAGUGCAUGGCCGCCGCCAGCUCGUGCCGUAAGGUGUCCUGUUAAGUCAGGCAACGAGCGAGACCUGUACUCACAAUUGCUAGCGAGCGAAUUUCGUGAUCGAGCACAUUGUGAGGACUGCCCUCGAAAGGGGGAGGAAGGUGCAGGCAACGGUAGGUCUGUAUGCUCCGAAUCCUCUGGGCUACACGCGCGCAACAAUGGUAGGGACAAUGGGAUACGACUCCGAAAGGAGAAGUUAAACCUCUAAACCCUAUCCCAGUCCAGAUUGAGGGCUGUAACUCGCCCUCAUGACGACGGAAUCCCUAGUAAUCGUAAGUCAACAUCUUACGGUGAAUACGUCCCUGCUCCUUGCACACACCGCCCGUCAAACCACUCGAGCAGAGUCUAGAUGAGAUUUAGUUUUUGACUAAUGCGAAUCUAAGCUCAGUGAGAUGGGUUAAGUCGUCACAAGGUA
Molecule: ribosomal RNA, 1427 nt
Filed under: metagenome
Description: bacterial SSU rRNA
Rfam family: Archaeal small subunit ribosomal RNA
Source: RNAcentral